Molecule: non-coding RNA, 145 nt
Filed under: uncultured Clostridium sp.
Lineage: Bacteria; Bacillati; Bacillota; Clostridia; Eubacteriales; Clostridiaceae
Source: RNAcentral
AUAUCUAUUGAUUAAAAGGGAAGUGGGUUAAAAUCCCACGCGGUCUCGCCACUGUAAUAGAUGAGUUCCUGCAAUUAUGCCACUGGGAAACUGGGAAGGCUGUAGGAAUGUUGAUGCUUAAGCCAGAAGACCUGCCUAUUUUAGU